UGGAUGAUGUGGAUUAAUUCGAUGCAACGCGAAAACCUUACCUACCCUUGACAUGUCCAGAACCCUGCAGAGAUGCGGGGGUGCCCGAAAGGGAAUUGGAACACAGGUGCUGCAUGGCUGUCGUCAGCUCGUGUCGUGAGAUGUUGGGUUAAGUCCCGCAACGAGCGCAACCCUUAUCAUUAGUUGCUACGCAAGGGCACUCUAAUGAGACUGCCGGUGACAAACCGGAGGAAGGUGGGGAUGACGUCAAGUCCUCAUGGCCCUUAUGGGUAGGGCUUCACACGUCAUACAAUGGUCGGUACAGAGGGUUGCCAAGCCGCGAGGUGGAGCCAAUCCCAGAAAGCCGAUCGUAGUCCGGAUUGUUCUCUGCAACUCGAGAGCAUGAAGUCGGAAUCGCUAGUAAUCGCGGAUCAGCAUGUCGCGGUGAAUACGUUCCCGGGUCUU
This 444-nucleotide ribosomal RNA is filed under the name uncultured Thiobacillus sp. RNAcentral's name for it is "bacterial SSU rRNA". It matches the Rfam family "Bacterial small subunit ribosomal RNA", at positions 933 to 1382 of the family's 1533-position model. The record is from RNAcentral. Lineage: Bacteria; Pseudomonadati; Pseudomonadota; Betaproteobacteria; Nitrosomonadales; Thiobacillaceae.